Molecule: long non-coding RNA, 1657 nt
Filed under: Podarcis lilfordi (Lilford's wall lizard)
Lineage: Eukaryota; Metazoa; Chordata; Lepidosauria; Squamata; Lacertidae
Source: RNAcentral
CCAGGCGUAACCUGUGGAAUGAAAGCACCUGAGAGGCUGGAGGUGGAGAGAGCAAAGGGAGGAGGCAGCUGGGGACUAAAUUAACUGGUGCCUCGCAAUAUUAGGGGCACACAAUAGGACAUCUCCUACGACUUGAGUGUUAGAAACUAGAAACUCACACCCCCAGCCGCCAUGGAACAAAACUGCUGGGGGCUCACGAUUGAAGGCCUCACGAAAGCCUUAUUAUGUCAGAGACUCAGAGCACGUAUAUAAUCUGUGAGAUUUUUGAUGUCCAGUUUUACGCACAGUUUUGCUAUUUUAUACCCCAGCCCUUCAAAAGGAGGCAGUGAAAGCUUGUGGAUGCCCUAAACCUAAAGGCUGAUAAAUCACCCGGGCAGUUUUCAAAGCACAGGUACUUUAAGUUCAUAGGGGUAGGCCAGCCGGAUAUUUCAAAUUUACAGGGAGCUGCCUUAUACCAAGAUAGACCACUGGUCCAUCUAACUUAGUACUGUCUACACUGGCUGGCAGCAGCUCUCCAGGAUAUCAGGCAGGAGUCCUUUCCAACCCUAACUGGAGAUGCCAUGGGUUGAACCUGUGGUCUUUAUCAAGAAAAACAUGUGCUCUGUCAAGUGAGAUUGCCAGUGUGAUGCAAUUUUACUUUUCUUUUUUAGCAGACAGGAAUUAUAGCCAAAUUCCCCUAAAGGGCAUCUUCAUUGCAUCCUGAGAAUAAAGCUUGGUAGCACGUCCUCCUCUGACAGCCAAAAUAGUGGAUAGCAAGCCAUUAAAAAAGUAGGAUUUCUAUUUCUCCUAAUUUUCAUGCUGUUUUAGACAAUAGAAAACAGUCCAGCCCAAAGGUCCAUCUAGCUUAAUUAUAAUCUUCUGUACUGAGAAGGUAACUGGGAAAACGGAGAAGAGCCUUUCUCUUCUCCGUCUUUCAGUUGCAGAUGUAUGUUAGGAAAAAGCAAUGGAAUAAAUAUGCAGAGAAUGCUGCAGCUGAAACAUUGCAAAAACAUCAUCUCCAAAGACAGAUUUUAUUCCAUUCUUUUUUUGGACUAUGCACUAUUCUCCUCCUCAGACUAGCCAAGUUUUAUUUAAUGCUCCCACUUGAGAUUUGAUACGGAUGUUUUGACUAGGGGAUAUACAAGAUUUCUCUGGUUCACUCAAAAAAUGCCUUGAGCUUUUGAAAUGUUCAAGCUGAAUGCCGGGGGGGGGGGGAGCCCCUGAGGUCUCUUCAAGCAUUUAACUUUGAACACUUGAAAAGCCCAAUAUCCUGCUGCUCCGCCACCCAUUCUGCCAGUCCUCCCACCCAUGGGUGUCCAUGGGUGUGGAGAGAAAACAAGGAGACAGUUGUUGCCCCCUCCCAGAUCUCAGGACUCUUCCUCAUCGACUGUAAUGGGGAAAUCAGCAAAUACCUUUAACCUUUUUUCUUUCUUUUUUACAGAAUUGGUCAACAUUAGCAGGCAUGGCAAGGCCUUUAGAGAUCAUCUUAUGAGAUCAAGUCUGUCAAAUUCUACACAACUAGAUACAAAGUUUGUUUGUGUGUGUGUGUGUCUGUGAGACACCUUGACAAAGUUUGAGGCUUUUUUAAAAAAGAGAGAAUAAAAGAAAUGACUGUAACUUUUUUAAUGAAUCAGAUGAAAUGGUUUCAGUAAUGGAAUAAACAACCUGGGUACAGAAA